RNAcentral lists this non-coding RNA (365 nucleotides) under Marchantia polymorpha subsp. ruderalis. RNAcentral's name for it is "Eukaryotic large subunit ribosomal RNA". It matches the Rfam family "Eukaryotic large subunit ribosomal RNA", at positions 1565 to 1883 of the family's 3401-position model. The record is from Rfam by way of RNAcentral. Lineage: Eukaryota; Viridiplantae; Streptophyta; Marchantiopsida; Marchantiales; Marchantiaceae.
UGAAGAAAGAGAUCGACGCCCUCUGGGCAAACGACACCUGGGAAGCAGUCUACUAACCCUUACCCUAACCCACUGUUUGCCGAGAUGGCAGCCGGUUAAUACUCCGGCACCUGGGUAAGGGUUUUCGCGGUAACGCAUUUGCAAGUUGAAACAUUGGCAGGGGCCUGAGAAGAGAUAUCUUUUCUUCUUAACAGUCUAUCACCCUGGAAUCAGUUUGUCUGGAAAUAGGGUUUAAUGGCUGGAACAGCUCCACAUUUUUGUGAGGUCCGGUGUGCUCCUGACGAUCCUUGAAAAUCAACUGGAUGCUCAACCUCUUGCCAGGUCGUUCUCAUAACCGCAGCAGGUCUCCGGGGUGAAUAGCCUCC